RNAcentral lists this ribosomal RNA (440 nucleotides) under uncultured bacterium. Its description in RNAcentral is "partial 16S ribosomal RNA". It matches the Rfam family "Bacterial small subunit ribosomal RNA", at positions 338 to 795 of the family's 1533-position model. The record is from RNAcentral.
CCUACGGGAGGCAGCAGUGGGGAAUAUUGCACAAUGGGGGAAACCCUGAUGCAGCGACGCCGCGUGAGUGAAGAAGUAUUUCGGUAUGUAAAGCACUAUUAGCAGGGAAGAUAAUGACGGUAACCGAUUAAGAAGCUCCGGCUAACUACGUGCCAGCAGCCGCGGUAAUACGUAGGGGGCAAGCGUUAUCCGGAUUUACUGGGUGUAAAGGGCGCGUAGGCGGCAGCGCAAGUCAGGAGUGAAAUGCCGGGGCUUAACCCCGGAACUGCUUUUGAAACUGUGCAGCUAGAGUGCAGGAGAGGUAGGUGGAAUUCCUGGUGUAGCGGUGAAAUGCGUAGAUAUUGGGAGGAACACCAGUGGCGAAGGCGGCUUACUGGACUUUAACUGACGUUGAGGCUCGAAAGCGUGGGGAGCAAACAGGAUUAGAUACCCGGGUAGUC